UUCUGCUCUGUGUUUUUGUUCAGAGCUCAAAUGGCCCUGUCUGUUAUCAGACCUUUAUUUAAUGGGAUUUCUUUUUUCUUGUUCAGAUUUAGUCCUGUGCUGAUUUUGUAAAUAUAUAUUAUAUUUUUAUUUCUGAAACUAUUUUAUUUCAUGUUCCUUUCAAAUCAUAGGAAAAAAAUAAUAUAAUAUAUAUAUACACACAUCUAGUUAUGCCUCUGGGACUGACAAGGCUUAGGCUCUCUGUGGAAUGAGACCCACUGGACACGUCUGUGCUGUUCACAGAGUCACCCCUGAAGAGGUUUUGCAAGCAGUGUGCUCUGUGUCUUGCUGUCAUCCACAUACCUGGAACGCAGACUGAGUGCAAACCGCGUGCCUACUGGCAUACAAACCAGUCUGGCACACUGCCAUGAUUUGGACAGCACAAGCAGGCUGUGAUUACAGGUGUGCUCUCCAUUUGGGCUGACUGUCUGGUUUUGAGGACAUUUCUUAUGUAAUUCCUGCCCCAAUGAGCAAAUUAGAACAGAGACAGCAGAUGACUGUAGGUAUUCAGGAGAAUAAGGGUUUAAAUGUUUUCAAACUUAAAUUGUAAAACUGAACAAGAAGGGAAAAUUCCAUUCUUAUUUUCAUCUGAAGCCUUUGGAAAAGGUAGUUUAAUAUGAGGCAAAUCUUCUUUUCUAAAAGAAUAGAUGUGACCUUGUAUGUGGAAGGCAAGAUCAGGGGGUGGCAGGUAAAUUCUCCUGAGGCCAUUAUUGGGUAUUGUUGCUUGGCAAACUGGCAGACUCAUUCUGGCUGGGAGAUACAGAUAUUUGGGAAGAGAUCUCUACCGCUAACUUUCCACUAUCUUGUCCACUAUCUUUCAAAAUUCUUGUGACAAAAUUCACCCAAAUCAGUACUGUCUAUUUAGAUUCUAAUUUGCUUUUCAAAAAUUCUCUAUGAUUGAAAUUGCAAGAAGAAAAAUUGAACACAUAGCAGGUUUUUCCAUGGGCUUCAGAUUACAACCCCAAACUCCCAGACUGUCUCAGAUCUCUCCUUUUCCAUCAUCAGACACAGAAGAACCUUAUCUCUGGGACUGCAGAUGAUUUUUAUGGUAGGAAAAAAAAAAAGGAAAUUAAAUAAACGUAACUUGAGGUAUCUAUGACAAUACCUUAAACUGGAACUGGUUGGGGAAAAUAGUAAGCGUCUAAGAGGCUCUCAGCUUUCUUCUCAUACUUGUCAAAAUACUUUGGAUUAUUGACUUUAUCUUGACUAGAACCUAGGGAAUUUUGCAUGGAUAUCUUGCCUUUGAUUUUCAGUGGGAUUCUUGAUAAAUCAUUUAUUUUCUGUUUCCCCAGUUCUUCAACUGGAAACAUAAUAAUUCCUUACAAAAAUAUCGUGACCAAAAAAUGGUAUUAAUCUUAUGAGUCAGUUAUGAGGAGGACUCCACAGUUACUUGGAAAACAAGUUAUGAAUUUGGUUAUAAAUGCUACUUAUGACAGUCCCUUCCUUCAAUGUAAUAGAAAAAAAAUGUUAAAGUUUUUUGCCGAUUCUGUAAAAGAAACCACAAAGUGCAAUACUCAAACAAAAUGGAAAGGUGUUCAGCUUAGAGAAGUGUUUGCUAUAAGCAGCUUUUCAAGUUAAUGAGAAAUAUCCACGUAAGGGGGAUUUUAAUAAGCAUUCUCUUGCUGAGUUCUACAUUUUUGAUUAAUUUAAACUAAGUCAUCCAGGUUUAACGUAGCAAAAGACAGCUUCAUUCCAAUACUGCUGUUGGAUUUUUACAUGUAAUAACAUUUUUAUUUAAAAAAAAUGUGCAUUUGAAUCUCAAGGACAUAAUAGUUCUAAGUGUCUGUUUACAUUAUCUGUACAUUUUUUUUUCCUACUUCACAAAGCUUUCUGGUUUGAUUGCAUGAAAUCUGGUAACUGUAAAGGAAUAGAGAAAUACCUAUCAUUCAUUAAGUAAGAGCCCUAAUUAAAUGUUAUGUUAACAAGCUUAAAAUAGGAUAAAUAUUCUAUCAGUAGUGAUAUAUGAAAACGGUUAAGUCUUUCUUAUGUCAGACUUUUAUAUACCGUAAAAUCAAGGUUUUUAUUCUGAACUGAUAAGGUAUAAUCUAUUUCUCUUUAUAAGAAGCGAAAUUAUGUAGUCAUAAGUAUGUGAGAGUCAGAGAAGCAUGGUGAAAUUAGCAGACUUUGGAGCCUUAGAGUAUAUCCUGUACUAUUUGAUGAUAAUUGGAGAAGCUGCUUUAACUUUACUUUUAUCAGUAUGUUGUGUUGUUUACAACGUAAAGCAUCUGUAGGACUUCUAACCUUUCAAAAUCAUCUGCUUCACAAGCAAAAUAAUCCCCUGGAUAAAACCACCAUUUAAGCUCCUGUUGUGUUGCUAUUUCACUCCCUUGGAGAAGAUAAUAUGGUAGGUUGAAUUAUCUAGUAGAAAAUUGUCAAGAAUUACGUUCUGAAUGACAGUUGCUGUGUUAGCACUCCAUGAUGGAUGAAAGGCUGAUGGACAUUUUAGAGUGAGCAAGAACAUUUUUUCAAAGUAAAAAUUAUAAAAAUUGUGCAUUUAAAAACAAAAAACAGAAUGCUCUCAGCAGUAUGAAGAAACUGUCGCUUAAUUUUAUAUUCCUUGAGCCAAACUCUUGCUCUGGAAUUGUCCUAUUUCGUCGGUAACAGCUAAUCACACUGGAGGAACUAAAUUGCAUGUGUCCCUUUACUUAACUUUGUAGAACACAUAAGCAAUUAUGGGAACUAAGAAAGGUUAUAUUGGCCAUCAGUCAUUCUAGUUUUAUACUUUAUUCACCCCAUGGCGCCUUGUAAUUGUUUCUUAAAUGACCUUAUUAUGUUUGUGCAACAUGGAAAAUAGCUUACUUCACUUGCUUAAAAAUUAUCGCAAUUCCAUGUGUUUCUAUUCAUUAAUUUUUACAUGCAGAUUGCUUAAAUUACUUAUUAUAAACUGUACUUCUGUGGGGUGUCUGCACUAAUUGGUAAGCCAAAUUACCUACAACAAUUGUUUCUUGUGGCAGUGAUGAUAUUUAUGUGCACAGACUUUG
Non-coding RNA from Anas platyrhynchos (mallard), 3020 nucleotides. The record is from RefSeq and is a predicted model, not a curated record. Lineage: Eukaryota; Metazoa; Chordata; Aves; Anseriformes; Anatidae.